Molecule: ribosomal RNA, 464 nt
Filed under: uncultured bacterium
Lineage: Bacteria
Description: partial 16S ribosomal RNA
Rfam family: Bacterial small subunit ribosomal RNA
Source: RNAcentral
GACGAACGCUGGCGGCGUGCUUAACACAUGCAAGUCGAACGGUAAGGCCUUUCGGGGUCAUACUAGUGGCGAACGGGUGAGUAACACGUGAGCAACCUGCCCUUGACUUCGGAAUACCAGCUGGAAACAGCUGCUAAUACCGGAUAUGACCCUGGUCCUCCUGGGCUGGGGUGGAAAGCUCCGGCGGUCAGGGGUGGGCUCGCGGCCUCUCAGCUUGUUGGGGAGGUAAUGGCUCACCAAGGCUUCGACGGGUAGACGGCCUGAGUGGGCGACCGGCCACACUGGGACUGAGAUACGGCCCAGAUUCCUACGGGAGGCAGCAGUGGGGAAUAUUGAACAAUGGGCGCAAGCCGGAUGCAGCAAGGCCGCGUGCGGGAUGACGGCCUUCGGGUUGUAAAACGCUUUCAGUAGGGACGAAGCCAGAAGUGACGGUACCUACAGAAGAAGGACCGGCUAACUACGUG